This 1490-nucleotide long non-coding RNA is filed under the name Nicotiana tabacum (common tobacco). RNAcentral's name for it is "long non-coding RNA (NTAB_LNC012224)". Lineage: Eukaryota; Viridiplantae; Streptophyta; Magnoliopsida; Solanales; Solanaceae. The record is from RNAcentral.
CCGGAAAUAAAAUAAACGUAAAUGUUUUUUAUAAAUAAUAGUCUAAAAAAGUGUCUGCUACCACUAGGAUGAAUCAACGGAGUCUGUAAACUGAAUCUAGAAUAUCUCCUCUAGCCACGUGCCUCGUUACCUGCAUCCUCAAUACCUGCCACACGACGUAGCAGGCCCAAACGGGAUAAGUAUCACCAAUGGAUACUCAGUAAAUCUCAUAGGCUACCUUCUAAAAAGGCGGAGCGAGACCUUCUGGAAAUUAUAAGAAAGAAAAGGGAUAUACGAAAAAUUAUAUAAAUCAUAUAAAAUUUUACAACCAAGUAAUAAGCUGGAAACUGAAACUGUAAGGUAAACUGUAAUCUGAAAUUGAAACGUAACGUAGAAAUUGAGCCCAUAACUGAUAUCUGAAAUAGAAACUGAGUUAUAUAUAUUUUAAGACGUAACUUUGUAAAGUUAAUUGUUACGCAUAAUGGCCCUGUGUAUGUGAGCAUCUAGGAAAACAUAUGGGGGAGUGUCAGCCUAUCUCCCCAACAAACAGUUGGCACCUACGAGCGUGGGGUAGGUAACCCUGACAUCAUGGCACUCACGCUGGAGGAGGUUGGCAAUUUCUCCCUAUCGAAUGUGAUCACAUUAAUGCAUGAAUUAAUGUUGAAGCUGAAUACUUAACUGAAUGUGAAUAUCAUAAAUAAAAGGCACAUAACAACUGGUAAUACACAUAAGCAUGUAUUCAUGUCACAUAUAAGGUUUUACUGAAUAAGAAUAAAGUGAACUGAGUAUUAGAUCACGAGAAGAUAUGACUUAGCUUUAUCUAGCAAAUGGAGCACAACGGUUUUAAUGAAAUUUCCUACUAGAAAAGUAAACCUCAACUCACCUCAAUUACAAGCUUAAUUUUGCAUCCACGUAUUUUUCAGGCAAUCCCAAGUCACCAAUUUCUCUAACUACAUGAUAAUUGGGUUCAACUUAAAUUAAUACAUGUCCAAAGAAUACAACUAUAUACAUAAUUCUCUUAUUCUAGGAAAUCCCACUUAGGUUCUAAACACUAAUUAGUCCGCAAUAACUCAAUAAAUCGAUUUAUAACGUUUAAUCCCACAACUCAUUAAAACAAGCUAUAACUAUGAAGUUUUCUAUUUUUUUUCUUCCAAACUUCAUCACUGCCCAGCAAUGAGUUAUCAUGAUUCCAAUAAUAAAUUCAUAGUAAAUGCAUCCAAGGCUAUUACUAUAUUGUAAUAACAUUAUUGAAUAAAGCCCAAGCAUUUAAAAUCUUUUUUAAAAAAAACAAUCCAAAUUUCAAAAUCCUACCCAUAUCUCAAUUGAUAGUAGAUAAAUAAUUUUUAUCAGAGAAGAGUAUAUGGGUACCUGAGAAUGAGAGUCAAUCUGCCACUUUUGUUUACAAAAUUCUCGUGAAAUCAAACUCUCAAGAUAACCCAAGCAGUUCCAUACUUGCGGUGAACAAGCUUGAGAAAACGAAAACUUUAUUUUCUUUCUUUCUUGAAAUUAGC